This is a long non-coding RNA of Saccostrea cuccullata (small rock oyster), 184 nucleotides long. RefSeq lists it as uncharacterized. Lineage: Eukaryota; Metazoa; Mollusca; Bivalvia; Ostreida; Ostreidae. The record is from RefSeq and is a predicted model, not a curated record. The transcript is spliced from 2 exons.
CAUGCGGUUUGCCUGGCGUUUUGGCUGUUAAGUUUGGUGAUGUUGGCCUCCCUAAGGAUUUUUCACCCUCUCACAAGGUGUGUCCAAUAAACAGUACAGUCACUGAUCUUUGUCAACUUUUUAAGAAAAUAACAGAAUAUGAAGAAGGAAGACUAUAUAUAGGAUCGAUCUACUUCAUAACUGG